UCCGUUUUCUUCUCUGACGUUGACUUGCGUCGGCAAGUUCUAAACCAAUCCAACACCUUUAAAUACCUCGGUUGACUUCGUAUUAUCGAGACAAAACCUUACUUAUCCUUCGAUUUGAGUUUGCUCGAGUUUUAGUGGUGAUUCAAGGCUCACCGGAGCCCGGGUUCGUCGUCGCCGGAUUCUGGAAAUUUGACUGGAAAAAUGAAUUUCUAUGUGGGUGGUAAAUAUCCAGUUUAGUCCCUGAACUUUAAUACUUCCAGUUUAGUACCUAAACUAUCUUAUUUUUUCUAUGCAGUCUGUAACUUUUAAAUUAUUCCAGCCACGGCCCAAUACUUUCUAGCUAUUGCAGUUUGGCCCGAAAGUUUUGGGUUAAGCCAUAAUUGUUC
RNAcentral lists this long non-coding RNA (386 nucleotides) under Linum usitatissimum (flax). Its description in RNAcentral is "long non-coding RNA (LUSI_LNC005934)". The record is from RNAcentral. Lineage: Eukaryota; Viridiplantae; Streptophyta; Magnoliopsida; Malpighiales; Linaceae.